Molecule: ribosomal RNA, 397 nt
Filed under: uncultured bacterium
Lineage: Bacteria
Description: partial 16S ribosomal RNA
Rfam family: Bacterial small subunit ribosomal RNA
Source: RNAcentral
AUACGUAGGGGGCGAGCGUUGUCCGGAAUGAUUGGGCGUAAAGGGCGCGUAGGCGGCCCGGUAAGUCUGGAGUGAAAGUCCUGUUUUUAAGAUGGGAAUUGCUUUGGAUACUGUCGGGCUUGAGUGCAGGAGAGGUAAGUGGAAUUCCCAGUGUAGCGGUGAAAUGCGUAGAGAUUGGGAGGAACACCAGCGGCGAAGGCGACUUACUGGACUGUAACUGACGCUGAGGCGCGAAAGUGUGGGGAGCAAACAGGAUUAGAUACCCUGGUAGUCCACACUGUAAACGAUGAAUGCUAGGUGUAGGGGGUAUCGACCCCUUCUGUGCCGCAGUCAACACAAUAAGCAUUCCGCCUGGGGAGUACGGCCGCAAGGUUGAAACUCAAAUGAAUUGACGGGG